Rhincodon typus (whale shark) is the source of this 214-nucleotide long non-coding RNA. RefSeq lists it as uncharacterized. NCBI's taxonomy places the organism in Eukaryota, Metazoa, Chordata, Chondrichthyes, Orectolobiformes, Rhincodontidae. The transcript is spliced from 3 exons. The record is from RefSeq and is a predicted model, not a curated record.
ACGUGAGCCGGAUAUUGUUGUUGGAUUUCAGCUCGGAGUUAUUCCACGGAGAUCGCGGCCUCGCUCGUCCCAGUUUUGCUGUUCGGUGGCCUGAUCGCGUCGGUGUGGUUCAUCCACCGGAGGAGGGACACAGGCAAUUCCUCAACUGUGUCACAGCCCAAGAGAUGCCAAGCUUCUGGUGAAGGGGCAGCAGCCGGCAAUCUGGAGUAUGCAG